This 254-nucleotide ribosomal RNA is filed under the name uncultured bacterium. Its description in RNAcentral is "partial 16S ribosomal RNA". It matches the Rfam family "Bacterial small subunit ribosomal RNA", at positions 524 to 776 of the family's 1533-position model. The record is from RNAcentral.
UACGUAGGGGGCGAGCGUUGUCCGAAGUUACUGGGCGUAAAGCGCGCGUAGGCGGUCAUUUAAGUCUGAGGUGAAAGGUUCAGCGCUCAACGUGAACAGUGCCUUGGAUACUGGGUGACUUGAGUUCGGGAGGGGGCAGUGGAAUUCCAGGUGUAGCGGUGAAAUGCGUAGAUAUCUGGAGGAACACCGAUGGCGGAGGCAGCUGCCUGGCCCAGAACUGACGCUGAGGUACGAAAGCGUGGGGAGCGAACGGG